CGAGGACCUCUCGGUAUCGCAUUUUGAUAUCACGACGAGCGAUACGAGAAACACGACGAAUAUCCCGAUCCCUCUCGAUCUCAAGCGCCGCGAUUUUGGCCCUCUAAGCAACAACCUGAGUCGUAAGAGCCUCGUUCUCCUGCUGAAUUCUCCUCCAAUCAUCAGUCAAAGCCUUGAUCUUUUCAGCAUCCUUUUUUCCCUCGCGUUUGGUGGCUUCAAGUUCCUCUGAAAGCCUCUUAAUCUCGGAACCAAUGCUUUCAAUCUCCUUGUCAUUCCGAGAAGCCUCGACGCGAUCCUCCAUCACCACAACAUACUCGUUGAAAGAUUCCAUCACCUAAAAAGAAAUCAAAACGGACUAAUAAGCACCUUGAAGCGCAUUUCAGAAGGAAGAGAACGAGAAGCAAACCUUAGAGCUCGCAACCGCAACCUUAGCGUAAGCUUCCUUCUCGGCCGAAGAAGCAAGGGACGGAAGACGACAGCCUGCAGACCUCAUGCGGCCGGCGAGAGAGAUCAAGUCGCCUUCAGCCACAAACAAAGAACCAUCGCCUUCAGGAACAAGCCUAGGACGAGAUGGACCGGGCAAGGUGGCCUUCGACGACUGACGCCGCCUAUGGGUCGCGGCAACGGUCUCAUCUUCUGAACAAGGGCUCAAUGAGAUUGGAGAUUACUCCUCCAAAGAAGCACCUUCAUAUUCGGAGUCCCGAAUCGAGAUCAAAGAAGGUCUAUCAGAAGCUCGGCUCCUUGAUGCCGACCCAGAAGCAUGAAACGACGACCUCCUCACGAGCUGCCUAGCCAGUCGAUCUGAAGAUUGAGCUUGAACGGAAGGGGUCGCAACGACUUCCCGGGAGUGUUCCGCCUCAUCCUCAGAACCCCUAACCCGAGGGGGGCCUGUUGGUCUCUUCUGGCAUGCCAAAAGCAGCUCGAAUCCUAGUCUGAUCAAACAAAGACCAGUUCAAACGACAUCUCCGAAGGACUCCGAUCAGACCACGAAUCUCGUCUGACAUCAAAGAACUUCCGGAAGAAGCUGUAACAAUCAAAGAAAAACGAGAAAUUGAGUCACCAAUUCCCCAAAGAGAAAGAUUGACACUCAGAUUUAAAAACUAACCGAUACUCUCAGCCCAAUUCCGGGGAAGUCGAGAGAAAUCAAAAUCUCCCACAGACGCUCGAUCCACCUUAAAAAAGAAAAACUGCUCGCGCCACUUCUCAUCGCGAUAGGGGACGUCCUCGAUGACGUGGCGACCCGGGAGCGGAGACACAAGGAAGGUACCGGAUUCUGCUUGUUCCGCUUCACCAGAACGAGGUGUCGGAACUCACCGUGGCCGAAAGAAAUACCUUCCUCCCUAGCCCUAACCAAGAACGUAAUAAGGUGCCUAAGAAAAUUUGGGAGGAUUUGAGUAAACGAUAAUCAAAGCUCCGCUAGAAUCUCGAGCACAUGCUCCUGAAUCGGGAAGGUAAGACAGCAAGAGUGAAAGAAAGAAAGAUAGGCUCUGCAAUACCCUCCCCGUACGGUUUCAGGAGUCUCAGUCGCGCCGGCCAAAUCUAGAACGAUGGCGCGAUCAACCUCGUACACCUUGUAGAGAUCCUCAAGAUCAUCGGUCGUAGUCGUUGGACGAGAAAAACUGAACGAUGAAGACAUCUCAAGUUCAGCGAUCAAGAAAUCUUAGAGCAAAAGCAAAAGAGAGAUGAGGAAAAAGAAUCGGAGUUGAAACGAAAAAAGAAAUCUCUCACGUAUUUAUAACCAUCCUAACGGCUAUAUCAUCAUUCUCGAGAAAGAUAAUGAUGACCUAGGCCUCACCCUAGCGGCGGCUAAUAUAGCCGUUACGCGUAAAAAGGAAAAAACGCGCCAAACAACGGUUUUUCAAGAAUCAUCAUUGAUUCAAACCAAAAUCGCAUCGGUUACCAAACGAUGAAACCCGAGUUAAUAACUAACCACCUCUUUUCUUUUCAAUCAAAUCAAAAGAGACUGGGGGACAAAUGUUGGAUCCAAUUUCGGUCAAUACAUUAAUGGGCCACAGUCAAAGAUGUGGGCCAUAAAGAAUUGGAGCCCAUUGCAGGCAUACGAGCUCGAGACGGAGACCUCGAGGUCCCGGAGUUCGCGGAACAGGAUACGGAGAUCGCGGAAUGGUUACGGAGAUCACAAAGUCGACCUACUAUAAAGAGAAGGAGAACACACACGGAGGAGGACACGUUGAAAACCCUAAAAAGAGCUACACCCACACUUGGACCUUGUUUUCAUCGAUCUUUAUAUCUUUUCUCUUAACAAUCUCGUUGUAACAUUCGAUCUUAUUUUACUCAUUGUAUUCGAUCUCGUUCAUCAAUAAAAGUCCAUUUUUGCCUACCGGAAACUGAUUAUAUCGUUGUGUUCUAAAGAUAUCGUUGCCUACAUCAUUUAUCUUCUCCUGAUUUAACUCCCGAUCACUAACAAAUUUUUAGUGUAGAUUUUAGGAUCUAAAACAAUCAUGACACAUGUACAUGUACUAGUGGUCAAACCUGGCAACAAGGACAUUCUAUAAAUACCCACGAAGGCAAACACAAAAAAAGUAAGAAAGGAACCCUGAGAGAGAAAACAUGAAGACGCAAGAGAAAGGAACUCUGAGAGAGAAAAACAUGAAGACGCAAGUGGCCACUUCAGAAGCAGGGGUGAUCUUGUGUGUUGAUCGGCUGAUCCGGGAUCGGCUCCUUUCCAUCUCUCCUUCAAGACCACUGUCUCUGUUGCUGCUUCAGCUAUUCUUCUCCCUCACCUUUCAGCCUCCUUAGAUUUGUUUUUUUCUUUCUUUUGUUCUUGCAUUUCUCUUUUUGUAAUAAGUGGGUUUCCACAACCUUAAAAAACAGAAAAACCUGGUAUAAAUCUUAACUUUUACACCAAAAAAAAACAUGAAGACGCAAGUGAUGAUAGUGGUAGCUCUUCUGAUUCCGGUGGCUUUAUCUUCCAACUCGGACAUGGUGGUGGAGGCUCACUUAGGCCCCGGCGACUGAUACGACGGUUGCACCACCGGCUGCGUCCAGCGUGACCCCAAAAAAACGUCCAAAUGCGAACAUCAUUGCGCCAAACGGUGCGGCCGAGGUAAAUAUACUUUAUAACACUAGAAGAAUAAUGAAACCGGUCCCUACCGUAGGGUGCAGUCUAAUCCACCAUGUAAUGAAACUUUUACGGUGUAUGUCUACUAAGCCCAUCAUAUAUAAGCUGAUUUUGUUUUCCAACUGGGUGAAACCAAAAGGGGUUUUGGAACUGAUGUUGGUGUACUUUUUUAUUGGAGGUGGUAAAAGAGCAAGUGGUGAGGUCUGGUGCUUAAACUUUGUAUUCACUAAGAUCUAUAUAUACAAUAUGUUGAAUCGUAUC
Molecule: long non-coding RNA, 3340 nt
Organism: Brassica napus (rape)
Lineage: Eukaryota; Viridiplantae; Streptophyta; Magnoliopsida; Brassicales; Brassicaceae
Exons: 2
Source: RefSeq, a predicted model, not a curated record